RNAcentral lists this transfer RNA (67 nucleotides) under Vermiophis taishanensis. Its description in RNAcentral is "tRNA-Leu". The record is from RNAcentral. Lineage: Eukaryota; Metazoa; Arthropoda; Insecta; Diptera; Vermileonidae.
ACUAUUUUGGCAGAUUAGUGUAAUAGAUUUAGAAUCUUUAAAUGUAAAAUUAGAUUUACAAAUAGUA